UACGAAGGGUGCAAGCGUUGUCCGGAAUUAUUGGGCGUAAAGCGCGCGUAGGCGGUUCGGUAAGUCGGAUGUGAAAACUCAGGGCUCAACCCGGAGACGCCAUCCGAUACUGCUGUGACUUGAGUCUGGUAGGGGAACACGGAAUACCUGGUGUAGCGGUGAAAUGCGCAGAUAUCAGAUGGAACACCGAUGGCGAAGGCAGUGUUCUGGGCCAGUACUGACGCUGAGGAGCGAAAGCGUGGGGAGCAAACAGG
Molecule: ribosomal RNA, 254 nt
Filed under: uncultured bacterium
Lineage: Bacteria
Description: partial 16S ribosomal RNA
Rfam family: Bacterial small subunit ribosomal RNA
Source: RNAcentral